RNAcentral lists this ribosomal RNA (1145 nucleotides) under Barracudia philippinensis. RNAcentral's name for it is "SSU rRNA". It matches the Rfam family "Eukaryotic small subunit ribosomal RNA", at positions 113 to 1259 of the family's 1831-position model. Lineage: Eukaryota; Metazoa; Nematoda; Chromadorea; Rhabditida; Philometridae. The record is from RNAcentral.
UUAUUUACUUGAUUUUGAUUCCAUACGUGGAUAACUGUGGCAAUUCUAGAGCUAAUACAUGCACCAAAGCUCCGACUCAACUGACGAGCGCAUCUAUUAGAAUAAAACCAAUCGAGGUUACGCCUCGUCCAUUUGGUGACUCUGAAUAGCUUAGCUGAUCGCAUGGUCUUGCACCGGCGACGUAUCUAUCAAGUAUCUGCCUUAUCAACUUUCGAUGGUAGUUUAUAUGACUACCAUGGUUGUAACGGGUAACGGAGAAUAAGGGUUCGACUCCGGAGAGGGAGCCUGAGAAACGGCUACCACUUCCAAGGAAGGCAGCAGGCGCGCAAAUUACCCACUCUCAGCUCAGAGGAGGUAGUGACGAAAAAUAACGAGACCGUACUCGAUGAGGCCGGUUAUCGGAAUGGGUACAAUUUAAACCCGUUAACGAGGAUCUAUGAGAGGGCAAGUCUGGUGCCAGCAGCCGCGGUAAUUCCAGCUCUCAAAGUGUAUAUCGGCAUUGCUGCGGUUAAAAAGCUCGUAGUUGGAUUUCAGCCUUACGACGUGGUCCAUUCAUUGAAUGCGAACUACGCCUCGUAGGCUAUAUUGAUGUUGGUUUUUCCUUACGUUGCUCUAAUCGGCUGCGUAAGGUGGCUAACGAGUUUACCUUGAAAAAAUUAGAGUGCUCAACGCGGGCUAACGCCUGAAUACUCGUGCAUGGAAUAAUGGAAUAGGAUCUCGGUUCUAUUUUGUUGGUUUUCUGAUCUGAGAUAAUGGUUAAGAGGGACAGACGGGGGCAUUCGUAUCGCUGCGUGAGAGGUGAAAUUCUUGGACCGUAGCGAGACGUCCCACUGCGAAAGCAUUUGCCAAGAAUGUCUUCAUUAAUCAAGAACGAAAGUCAGAGGUUCGAAGGCGAUCAGAUACCGCCCUAGUUCUGACCGUAAACGAUACCAACUAGCGUUCCGCCAGCAGUAAAUACGCCUUGGCGGGCAGCUUUCCGGAAACGAAAGUUUUUCGGUUCCGGGGGAAGUAUGGUUGCAAAGCUGAAACUUAAAGAAAUUGACGGAAGGGCACCACCAGGAGUGGAGCCUGCGGCUUAAUUUGACUCAACACGGGAAAACUCACCUGGCCCGGACACCGUGAGGAUUGACAGAUUGAGAGCUCUU